CGAACGCUGGCGGCGUGCCUAAUACAUGCAAGUCGAACGCACUUUCGUUAGAUUGAGAAGCUUGCUUCUGAUUGAUAACAUUUGAGUGAGUGGCGACGGGUGAGUAACACGUGGGUAACCUGCCCUAAAGUGGGGGAUAACAUUUGGAAACAGAUGCUAAUACCGCAUAAAACCUAGCACCGCAUGGUGCAAGGUUGAAAGAUGGUUUCGGCUAUCACUUUAGGAUGGACCCGCGGUGCAUUAGUUAGUUGGUGAGGUAAAGGCUCACCAAGACCGUGAUGCAUAGCCGACCUGAGAGGGUAAUCGGCCACACUGGGACUGAGACACGGCCCAGACUCCUACGGGAGGCAGCAGUAGGGAAUCUUCCACAGUGGACGAAAGUCUGAUGGAGCAACGCCGCGUGAGUGAAGAAGGUUUUCGGAUCGUAAAACUCUGUUGUUGGAGAAGAACGUAUUUGAUAGUAACUGAUCAGGUAGUGACGGUAUCCAACCAGAAAGCCACGGCUAACUACGUG
RNAcentral lists this ribosomal RNA (514 nucleotides) under uncultured bacterium. RNAcentral describes it as "bacterial SSU rRNA". It matches the Rfam family "Bacterial small subunit ribosomal RNA", at positions 30 to 507 of the family's 1533-position model. The record is from RNAcentral.